This 22-nucleotide microRNA is filed under the name Strongyloides ratti. Its description in RNAcentral is "str-miR-8374-3p". Lineage: Eukaryota; Metazoa; Nematoda; Chromadorea; Rhabditida; Strongyloididae. The record is from miRBase by way of RNAcentral.
UAAAUAUGAAUGUGAAUGUUCU